Astyanax mexicanus (Mexican tetra) is the source of this 446-nucleotide long non-coding RNA. RefSeq lists it as uncharacterized. The transcript is spliced from 4 exons. NCBI's taxonomy places the organism in Eukaryota, Metazoa, Chordata, Actinopteri, Characiformes, Acestrorhamphidae. The record is from RefSeq and is a predicted model, not a curated record.
CUCAUGUUAGAGUUAGGUUAGCUACCCUUAGCCAAUUAAUUGGAACUGGAAUUAGGAACCUCUUCACAUCUUAAAUUGAGUGUUUAAAGGAUGAAAUAGAAGCCUUGCGAUGGACAAAACUGUUCCGUUCAAAUCCCAGAUGUUGUGGAAGAGAGGCUCUGACCAUUGACGUUGGCUAUGUGGAUUUCCAUGGCUUUGGUGGCUGUGUCGUCGGUCGUGGACAGUGCGUUGUGUACAGGCGUGAAGACCUCCAGCACUCCUUUAGUCAGACUGGGCUCAAACAUCAUACUGCGGCUCCUCACGCUCACAUUCUCACAGCCUGGAUACAAGACUAAUCAGGACAGCAGUUCAGUGAGCUGUACGUAGCUAUAGCCGUACCUGCAGGUUUGGAGGUAGCUGGAGAAGCCGGGUGUCUGACAGGGUUGGUGAGUCUGGGCCUCCUACGC